Molecule: ribosomal RNA, 2883 nt
Filed under: Serratia fonticola
Lineage: Bacteria; Pseudomonadati; Pseudomonadota; Gammaproteobacteria; Enterobacterales; Yersiniaceae
Description: 23S ribosomal RNA
Rfam family: Bacterial large subunit ribosomal RNA
Source: RNAcentral
UUAAGUGACUAAGCGUACACGGUGGAUGCCUAGGCAGUCAGAGGCGAUGAAGGGCGUGCUAAUCUGCGAAAAGUGUCGGUAAGGUGAUAUGAACCGUUAUAACCGGCAAUACCCGAAUGGGGAAACCCAGUGUGUUUCGACACACUAUCGUAUGGUGAAUACAUAGCCAUACGAGGCGAACCGGGGGAACUGAAACAUCUAAGUACCCCGAGGAAAAGAAAUCAACCGAGAUUCCCCUAGUAGCGGCGAGCGAACGGGGAACAGCCCAGAACCUGAAUCAGUUCUUGUGUUAGUGGAAGCGUCUGGAAAGUCGCGCAGCAAAGGGUGAUAGCCCCGUACACUAAAAUGCAUUAACUGUGAGUUCGAUGAGUAGGGCGGGACACGUGACAUCCUGUCUGAAUAUGGGGGGACCAUCCUCCAAGGCUAAAUACUCCUGACUGACCGAUAGUGAACCAGUACCGUGAGGGAAAGGCGAAAAGAACCCCGGCGAGGGGAGUGAAAUAGAACCUGAAACCGUGUACGUACAAGCAGUGGGAGCACCUUCGUGGUGUGACUGCGUACCUUUUGUAUAAUGGGUCAGCGACUUAUAUUUUGUAGCAAGGUUAACCGUAUAGGGGAGCCGUAGGGAAACCGAGUCUUAACUGGGCGAAUAGUUGCAAGGUAUAGACCCGAAACCCGGUGAUCUAGCCAUGGGCAGGUUGAAGGUUGGGUAACACUAACUGGAGGACCGAACCGACUAAUGUUGAAAAAUUAGCGGAUGACUUGUGGCUGGGGGUGAAAGGCCAAUCAAACCGGGAGAUAGCUGGUUCUCCCCGAAAGCUAUUUAGGUAGCGCCUCGUGAACUCAUCUUCGGGGGUAGAGCACUGUUUCGGCUAGGGGGCCAUCCCGGCUUACCAAACCGAUGCAAACUCCGAAUACCGAAGAAUGUUAUCACGGGAGACACACGGCGGGUGCUAACGUCCGUCGUGAAGAGGGAAACAACCCAGACCGCCAGCUAAGGUCCCAAAGUCAUGGUUAAGUGGGAAACGAUGUGGGAAGGCAUAGACAGCCAGGAUGUUGGCUUAGAAGCAGCCAUCAUUUAAAGAAAGCGUAAUAGCUCACUGGUCGAGUCGGCCUGCGCGGAAGAUGUAACGGGGCUAAACCAUGCACCGAAGCUGCGGCAGCGACGCUUAGGCGUUGUUGGGUAGGGGAGCGUUCUGUAAGCCGUUGAAGGUGAACUGUGAGGUUUGCUGGAGGUAUCAGAAGUGCGAAUGCUGACAUAAGUAACGAUAAAGCGGGUGAAAAACCCGCUCGCCGGAAGACCAAGGGUUCCUGUCCAACGUUAAUCGGGGCAGGGUGAGUCGACCCCUAAGGCGAGGCCGAAAGGCGUAGUCGAUGGGAAACAGGUUAAUAUUCCUGUACUCGGUGUUACUGCGAAGGGGGGACGGAGAAGGCUAGGCUAGCCGGGCGACGGUUGUCCCGGUUUAAGCGUGUAGGGGGNUAUCAACCCUGAGGCGUGAUGACGAUGCACUACGGUGCAGAAGUAGUUGAUGCCCUGCUUCCAGGAAAAGCCUCUAAGCAUCAGGUAACAUCAAAUCGUACCCCAAACCGACACAGGUGGUCAGGUAGAGAAUACCAAGGCGCUUGAGAGAACUCGGGUGAAGGAACUAGGCAAAAUGGUGCCGUAACUUCGGGAGAAGGCACGCUGGCGCGUAGGUGAAGAGACUUGCUCUCGGAGCUGAAGCCAGUCGCAGAUACCAGCUGGCUGCAACUGUUUAAUAAAAACACAGCACUGUGCAAACACGAAAGUGGACGUAUACGGUGUGACGCCUGCCCGGUGCUGGAAGGUUAAUUGAUGGGGUCAGCCGCAAGGCGAAGCUCUUGAUCGAAGCCCCAGUAAACGGCGGCCGUAACUAUAACGGUCCUAAGGUAGCGAAAUUCCUUGUCGGGUAAGUUCCGACCUGCACGAAUGGCGUAAUGAUGGCCAGGCUGUCUCCACCCGAGACUCAGUGAAAUUGAACUCGCUGUGAAGAUGCAGUGUACCCGCGGCAAGACGGAAAGACCCCGUGAACCUUUACUAUAGCUUGACACUGAACAUUGAGCCUUGAUGUGUAGGAUAGGUGGGAGGCUUUGAAGUGUGGACGCCAGUCUGCAUGGAGCCAACCUUGAAAUACCACCCUUUAAUGUUUGAUGUUCUAACUCGGCCCCAUAAUCUGGGGUGAGGACAGUGUCUGGUGGGUAGUUUGACUGGGGCGGUCUCCUCCCAAAGAGUAACGGAGGAGCACGAAGGUUAGCUAAUCACGGUCGGACAUCGUGAGGUUAGUGCAAAGGCAUAAGCUAGCUUGACUGCGAGAGUGACGGCUCGAGCAGGUACGAAAGUAGGUCUUAGUGAUCCGGUGGUUCUGAAUGGAAGGGCCAUCGCUCAACGGAUAAAAGGUACUCCGGGGAUAACAGGCUGAUACCGCCCAAGAGUUCAUAUCGACGGCGGUGUUUGGCACCUCGAUGUCGGCUCAUCACAUCCUGGGGCUGAAGUAGGUCCCAAGGGUAUGGCUGUUCGCCAUUUAAAGUGGUACGCGAGCUGGGUUUAGAACGUCGUGAGACAGUUCGGUCCCUAUCUGCCGUGGGCGUUGGAAGAUUGAGAGGGGUUGCUCCUAGUACGAGAGGACCGGAGUGAACGCACCACUGGUGUUCGGGUUGUCAUGCCAAUGGCACUGCCCGGUAGCUAAGUGCGGAAAAGAUAAGCGCUGAAAGCAUCUAAGCGCGAAACUUGCCUCGAGAUGAGUCUUCCCUGGGCCUUUAAGGUCCCUGAAGGAACGUUUAAGACUAAGACGUUGAUAGGCUGGGUGUGUAAGUGCAGCGAUGCAUUGAGCUAACCAGUACUAAUGAUCCGUGAGGCUUAACCUU